CUCAUCCAUAGGCAGCGCUGUGCCUGAGGUGGGACUUGGGUACUUUGGCUCUGAAGAGGCUGCCUGUGCCAUUGAGCAUCAGAGUUUGCCAGCCCUCUGCAAGAACCACUCAGGAUGGAGACAGUGAUACAUGAGAUGAAACAGAAGCGUGGAUACCUCCAUCACCCUCGGGUGCCCUUCACCAUGCUGGCCCCUGGACUACAACAGACCCUUGACUAGUUAUGACUACAAGCCGUAUUUCAUGUAUUAUUAGGAAAGCAGAGCUUUUGCAGGCAACCCCACAGUGUGAGAUCCAGAAUUACCUGCCAACUGCCAUGGCGAUGACUGGAGUCCCCAUCCCACCAGCUCACCCAUGGGGUGUCGUCACUGGGAGAGCACACUCAUGGAGGUAAGCUCAUGAAAUGCUGCCACUAAUUAAUAACCAAGGGAAAAAAGGAAACCAGCUCAAUGCCUCUGGGUAACUCCGCUGGGUAAAUCACUACCCAGAACAAGCCAAGAUUCAUUUCUGGCCAAAAUUCCUGCACUAACACUAAACUGCUGCUUGAUUAAGUGAUUUUUCCUGAGCUCGUGAUGCAAGGCAUUGUCAGGGAAAGGGCUUAUGCAAGGCUGCAGCAGUCCCUGCUGAAUGCUUGAGCCAUUCAGUGAUCCAACCCACCACACACCCCGUCAGGUCUGUUACCUGCCAUCAGCUCCCCCACUGGAAAAACAUGCAAUUUUCCAAAGGUAAGAGAGUCUUGGGUUACUAGGAACACAAAUCAUUACGAGUAAAACUGCAUUCCCAAUUUAUUGUAUUUGUUUUAUUUAUAAUUUUAUUACUUAUUCCACAUUUUCCAUAUUUUCCAUGUGUUUCACGUCAUUCUUGUCCAUUCAGGCCUUUACGUGGAAACUUGGGCUCUUCUCCACUGCUUAAUGUGUUGAAGGCUUUAUAAACAGCCUUGAUUCAUUGUUUGCUCUGCAUGCUUCCAUCCUAAGAGCAUGCAGCUAAUGUUGUGCCUGGUAUAAGUCUGAAUGUUCUUUCACUGGGGAACUAGAUGGGAUGAGAAGGGAAGAAAAGCAAUGAUUAUUGUGAUAAGCAGGUGAAAAUAAAGACCAUCAAACUGUUCACCUGGAGUUCUAACAAAGAACAGUUUGAGACUGUUCUGAUUUGGGUUGUGUUUUCUUUCAGGGUUUUAAGUUGUCAAAGACAGAGAUUUUUCCAUGUGCCGCAGUCAAGGUUGAAGACUGGUCAAUGUGUUGCACGUGCACACCCAGAUUUACCACUGACUGAAUGAUGAGGAAACCCCUCCCCACGCUGCUUGGAUCCUUUCCUGCUCUACACUUCUGGAAGAACUAGCUUCGAAACUGCAGCUCCUCCGAGGCUUCUGCAAGGUCAGCAAAGUGUGAACAUGACGCCGAACGCACCCAGAUACUUUCAGAGGUUCAGCAGUCCCUGAAAAGUUUUUUAAUGAUGAAAACAGACUGUCAGAUGAGUUUGGAUUCUGCCACAUGGUCCUAGCGAUAAUAAGCCAUCUGUGUGCAUCGUGCCGCUCGCGACCUUUCCUCUCUCACUUUCCUUCCAAGUCCUCUCUGUUUUGACCUACAUUUGAGUAACCCACCAAAUGCCAGCAGUGCACACAGCAGAGUUAAAUAUGUACUCAGUUACCAACAUGCUAACAAACAGUGAGUCCAUCUACAGCAAAGGGAAAACAAGCAUGUGAAAAAGGGAUGAUCCGUCAAAUGGAAAAGGACCCAUCACGAAUAUAAUCACCCUCUGCUGCAUUUGCCUGAUUACUACAUUUGACCGGCUCCUCUCCCAGUUAGUGGGACUUUUGCUCCUAAAUCCUUUGGGGUAGGGUUUUGAAAGAUGUUGUUUGGUACCAGAAGAUGCAGAUAAUAAUAAAAUAUUUGUAUAAUAAUAUAUACUAUAUAAUUAAUAUAUACUAUUUGUAUAAUAUUUGAAAGCUGCACUUUUAUUUCCUUUUCCAUAGCUGCAAUUCUAAAUUAUGUUCAAAAACUACAGCUUAUACCUCUGCACUAUAGAUAUAUUCAGCUUGUGCUAUUGACGAUUAGUGCUAAGUAAGUAUGUUUGUAAGCAGUUGCAGGAUCAGGAUGUCUGAAAGCUUUACCUUUGUGUAACUUUAUAUAAGAUAAAAUAGGAAAUAAAAGACCUCAUUAUUGCUUUCAA
Strigops habroptila (Kakapo) is the source of this 2164-nucleotide long non-coding RNA. RefSeq lists it as uncharacterized. The record is from RefSeq and is a predicted model, not a curated record. NCBI's taxonomy places the organism in Eukaryota, Metazoa, Chordata, Aves, Psittaciformes, Psittacidae. The transcript has 5 exons.